Molecule: ribosomal RNA, 636 nt
Filed under: Staphylococcus sp.
Lineage: Bacteria; Bacillati; Bacillota; Bacilli; Caryophanales; Staphylococcaceae
Description: bacterial SSU rRNA
Rfam family: Bacterial small subunit ribosomal RNA
Source: RNAcentral
GAUAACCUACCUAUAAGACUGGGAUAACUUCGGGAAACCGGAGCUAAUACCGGAUAAGAUUUUGAACCGCAUGGUUCAAUAGUGAAAGACGGCCUUGCUGUCACUUAUAGAUGGAUCCGCGCCGUAUUAGCUAGUUGGUAAGGUAACGGCUUACCAAGGCAACGAUACGUAGCCGACCUGAGAGGGUGAUCGGCCACACUGGAACUGAGACACGGUCCAGACUCCUACGGGAGGCAGCAGUAGGGAAUCUUCCGCAAUGGGCGAAAGCCUGACGGAGCAACGCCGCGUGAGUGAUGAAGGUCUUCGGAUCGUAAAACUCUGUUAUCAGGGAAGAACAAACGUGUAAGUAACUGUGCACGUCUUGACGGUACCUGAUCAGAAAGCCACGGCUAACUACGUGCCAGCAGCCGCGGUAAUACGUAGGUGGCAAGCGUUAUCCGGAAUUAUUGGGCGUAAAGCGCGCGUAGGCGGUUUUUUAAGUCUGAUGUGAAAGCCCACGGCUCAACCGUGGAGGGUCAUUGGAAACUGGAAAACUUGAGUGCAGAAGAGGAAAGUGGAAUUCCAUGUGUAGCGGUGAAAUGCGCAGAGAUAUGGAGGAACACCAGUGGCGAAGGCGACUUUCUGGUCUGUAACUGA